UCACGAAAGUGGGCUGUACUAGAAGCAGGUGAGCCAACCGCAAGGAGGCAGCCUUCCAAGAUAUAACUCAUGAUUGGGGUG
This 81-nucleotide ribosomal RNA is filed under the name uncultured bacterium. RNAcentral describes it as "partial 16S ribosomal RNA". The record is from RNAcentral.